UUGUCAAACCAAGGUUCUGAAAUUCUGAGUCAUACCAAGGUUCUGUGGGGGUGGGUCUCUAUAUUCUGUGUUAUACACACACACACACAAACACACACACCCUCAGCUGGUCCUCACUACUAUGCAGGGUACUCUCUCUGUGUGCAACGUCCUUUGAUAGGCACUGAAGGAAGUGCAUGCAAAUAAUAUGCAUUCCCCAGGUGUUUACUGAGCAUCGAUCAUGUAGCUAAGCACAGGGUUGGGUACCAAAAAGAAUGGUAGCAGUGUAAAAUUUAGGUCUUCAAGAUGUUUAGAGUCUAGCUGGAGAAGAUAAAAUUGAACAAAAGGGGAGCUCAAUUUUUAUGUGAAUAUAGAAUCCUAGGUUUCCACUGAGAAUCAGGCUAUGGACAGAGGGAAAAGACUCUCUGAGGAGAGGAGAGAAGAGUAGAACUGUGGUGAGUUGGGGUGAAUGGAAUAGGGUAGCCAGGGCUGUGCCUGUGCAUUCCUUGUCACCACUGUGGGUCCAGAAGGAAGAGCAGCAGGAUUACUGCGUAAGGCUGGCCUAGGGCUGAGGAACUCAUGGGGGCCAAUAAGAAAACCCUACUAGCGAUGGAAACCUUGGGGCUGGGGUAGUUCAGACUGUGGUCCGAGGCUGGGGAAAGAGGCAAGUGGUGGAAAUUUAGAGGUUACAACAGGGAUGUGACUGAUGAUUCUCAGAGACAGUGGGGCCCAGAGCUGUAGUGGCAAAGAGAGAAUGGAAGUACUGUCUGGCAUGGAGGUCAAAGCUAACUUGAAAAGCAAGUUAGUGCUCUUGGAAAUGAUGCUGAGACCACCCCAGAGGGAGCGGUGAAGAUGUAGCGAGCAGUCAACUAUCUCCAUGUUAAAUGAGUAGCUUCUGAUAUUUUGAGUUUCCCACACAGAGUAUAAAAAAUACACUUGAUGUAUAAAAUUCAAAUGGUACUUUCUUCAUGAAGCCUUUUUCAUCCCCAAGAAAUAUAUCCUCUCUGUCUCAAGAAACAACUCUCUCUCACUUCCAUAGGCUUUCCUACAUCUACUAGGAAAUGUUUUUCUUGGUUCUUGAGAUAUCUGGGUAUAUGAUUUGUUAAACUUGGUGUCAGACCCUGGAGGACAGAGCCAGAGACAUCCUCCCCAAAGACCAGCACAGAGCCAGGCACACAAACAAGAUCCCAGUAAAUAUUCCAGGAAUUGAAGUAAUGCUUUGUCAUGGAGGAGUCCCGUGCUAGAGGCAGUUUUUACUUUUGGGAAGAUUAAAUAGCAGUCUUAAGGAAUAGAGUUUUGCCUACUAGCAAGCUCAAAUGAAUGUGGACCUAAGUACAAUAAAUAUUUGUGGAAUGACUGGUCCAAACAGAAGGUUAUGGGAGGCUGAGCUGAGGGAUACAGUCAUGCAGGUGACAGCUUCUUCGCCCUCUACCCCGAAAGAGAUGCGUGAGGGCACGUGUGCCUGCACACACACACCCCAACCCCCCACAUGCACACUUGCAAACUUAGAUAUUUCUGUUUCUCUUCAAGGAGGGGUAUAAAUAGAAUGGUAUCUUCGUGAUGCAAGCCUCAGAUUUGCCUCUCGGCUCCUCCUUUUGUUGUGAGGCUGUUUGGGAAUUUGUCCUCAUAACCCGUGGGUCUGUGCUGGGGUGUGGUCUUGGAUGGACAACAAGGAGUGGCUGUUUGCAUGGAAAGUCCACUUCAGGGGUGGUAUAGAAAUAGAGAACUCACCCAGGCACACCCCAAAUUAUAUUCAUCCCACAAUUAGUGAGCACCUACUGUGUUCCAGGCACUGAGGAUUCAGAGAUAAAUAAGACAUACAAGUAGUUUCUGCUCUGUAAGUCCUCAGAUCCUAGAGCAAGUAGCAGACUCUACAGAUGACUUCAAUAGUAUAUGGGUAUUUGUGAGGCCUGAUCCAGUGGAGAAGAGUGGAAAUCACCAAGAACACCCCAUGUGUGGAAAACCUGGUCUACAGAGAGACACUGUGUCCACAGCAACAAACACUCACUGAGUGCCUACCAGGCCCUGGCCACCUUCUAGGUAGAGAACACGCAGCACAACGUGACCCACACAGGCUCUUCUCCUUUGGAGCUUACAUCUUCACAGGGGAUGAGAGGUGACAAGCACGUAUACAACCAAGAAACAAGUAUUGGGACUGGCCAAAAAGUUCAUGUGGGUUUUUCCACGACAUCUUAAGGAAAAACCCGAGCAAUCUUUUUGGCUAACCUGAUAAACAGCGUGAUUUCAGAAGCCUGAUUGGAUUAAGACAACCAUGAAAAGACAGAUCAAAGAUAUUAUGUAACUCACCUAUGAUCACACAGGAGAGUGUUUCACGUCUGGAUUUCGCUGACCACAUCAUCAUGGAGUCAGUCGACACCACGUGGACGCUGAUAUGAUUCUGCCUCCGUUGGUCACACGGUGAUGCUUCUUCAGAUGCCUGCCCUCGGGCAACCGAAUUUGCUCUGUCCUCACAGGCAGAAAAGCCUGAGGUACCUGGCAUCGUAUGUCUCCCUGGACUGGGCCUCAGCCAGUGACGUACAGGCACAGGAGCACAACAGCCCAACUCUCUCGCUUCUGCAACAGCAGCUCUGAGGCUUGUUCUACACUCUAGAGUUCCCUGCAGGGGCAGGUUGAUGCUCCACUCCCCGCCCCACGCCACCCCCUCAACCCCACCCAUCUUUGUCUGAAACGACACCUGCAUGACUCCGUCUCCUUCACAGUCCUGCUUCUCCUACUCCCUUACUAGUUUCCCCUGGAAGCGCAAUCUUAAUAAAUUACUUGCAAACAA
This is a long non-coding RNA of Hippopotamus amphibius kiboko, 2767 nucleotides long. RefSeq lists it as uncharacterized. Lineage: Eukaryota; Metazoa; Chordata; Mammalia; Artiodactyla; Hippopotamidae. The record is from RefSeq and is a predicted model, not a curated record. The transcript is spliced from 4 exons.